AAAACCACCCCGGCUCCACAUCCCCGCUACCGUUGCACGGCGGCCAAGAAGGUGUAAACUUAGAGAGCGUAAACGGACGGAACCUGUUCGUUGGGAGCUCGCGGUAGAGCGAGCGGUGCCGGAGGAGCCCAUCUUUCCCAGGCGGAGAAGGAAAAAGGCAGGCAACGCCAGGUUAAGUCAACGGCGGAUUUUUCUACCAGCCCGUGUCAAUGGUGUAUAAAAUCUGAGGACUCCAGUUCAUCUCUUGCCACCAUUCAAAUUCAUUCACUCUUCAAAAAACACAUCUAAACUGAACAAGGCCAUGCUGGUUUCAGAGUCAACACAACGCUGACCGGACUGCUGCGUCUUUGGCGAUAGCCUCCUUAAGACAGCUAAAUUGUCCAGUUUAUUUUAGGUUCAUGAAAGCUACCCUCACCUUCCAAUUCCUCACAUAGAAUGGGAGUAAAAUUUCGGUGAAAUUGUUAUAUCUUCAAAUUUAGAAGCAGAGCAGAUUUUUUCAUAAAUAAUUAAGCUCUCUAAAGUAUUUAUGCUGGGCAUAAAUGGAGUUUCAAUCUUCUUUAUUCAAAUAAACACGGUAAACCCAUUA
Molecule: long non-coding RNA, 586 nt
Organism: Ornithorhynchus anatinus (platypus)
Lineage: Eukaryota; Metazoa; Chordata; Mammalia; Monotremata; Ornithorhynchidae
Exons: 2
Source: RefSeq, a predicted model, not a curated record